AAAAAGAUAAGCUAAUUAAGCUAAUGGGUUCAUACCCCAUUCAUGAAGGUAUUAAUCCUUCUCUUUUUA
This 69-nucleotide transfer RNA is filed under the name Gastrimargus marmoratus. RNAcentral describes it as "tRNA-Met". It matches the Rfam family "tRNA". Rfam says of the family: Transfer RNA (tRNA) molecules are approximately 80 nucleotides in length. Their secondary structure includes four short double-helical elements and three loops (D, anti-codon, and T loops). Further hydrogen bonds mediate the characteristic L-shaped molecular structure. tRNAs have two regions of fundamental functional importance: the anti-codon, which is responsible for specific mRNA codon recognition, and the 3' end, to which the tRNAs corresponding amino acid is attached (by aminoacyl-tRNA synthetases). tRNAs cope with the degeneracy of the genetic code in two manners: having more than one tRNA (with a specific anti-codon) for a particular amino acid; and 'wobble' base-pairing, i.e. permitting non-standard base-pairing at the 3rd anti-codon position. Lineage: Eukaryota; Metazoa; Arthropoda; Insecta; Orthoptera; Acrididae. The record is from RNAcentral.